RNAcentral lists this long non-coding RNA (609 nucleotides) under Cricetulus griseus (Chinese hamster). Its description in RNAcentral is "lncRNA (ENSCGRG00000026271.1)". Lineage: Eukaryota; Metazoa; Chordata; Mammalia; Rodentia; Cricetidae. The record is from RNAcentral.
CUCAGAGUGGUUUUGAGCUGCUAUCUUCAAAAGGGUAACCUUUUAAUAAAUAGCUCUACUAUCGAUCUGAGAACUGUACAUGUCUUUUUAUUAAUCAAACUUAUUUCUACCUGUCUCAUGAAACAAAAAUUCUUAUUAAUCUGUAUUCAAAUUUGGUAUAUUGUGAUAAAGCACUGACAAAAAGCAACAUGAGAAGGAAUGUAUUUAUUUUAUCUUACUCUUCCAGAUCAUGGUCCAUCAUUGAGAGAAGCCAGGACAGGAACUCAAGGCAAGAGCCUGAAGAGAGAACUGCUUGCUUUUCAGUGCAGCAUUACCUUUAGCCAGUUCCCAUCAAGUUUAUAAAAACAACCAAGUUGAGACUCUUCCUUCCCCCUCCACCGGCCCGACCUCUCCUAAGACUUAUCUUCGAGGACACUGGCAGCAGACUCUACAGAGAAGAGAGGAGGAAGAGACCGAUUUUGUGCUGCUUGUCCCUGCUUAUAUUCUGAGUGUGCCUGCUAUGUCACUUCCUGCCUGGAUCACAAGACUUAUCUUUACUACAUUUGCCAUAACCCUCCUAGAUUCUUAGUCCCACCUAACUUGCUUCCCUAUUGGCCAACAGUACUUUAU